Molecule: ribosomal RNA, 1398 nt
Filed under: uncultured bacterium
Lineage: Bacteria
Description: 16S ribosomal RNA
Rfam family: Bacterial small subunit ribosomal RNA
Source: RNAcentral
UUAGAGUUUGAUCCUGGCUCAGGAUGAACGCUAGCGGCAGGCUUAACACAUGCAAGUCGAGGGGCAGCGAGAUCAGUGCUUGCACUGAUUGUCGGCGACCGGCGCACGGGUGCGUAACGCGUAUGCAACCUACCCAUUACAGGGGGAUAACACUGAGAAAUCGGUACUAAUACCCCAUAACAUCCAGGGAGGCAUCUUCUUGGGUUGAAAACUCCGGUGGUAAUGGAUGGGCAUGCGUUGUAUUAGUUAGUUGGUGGGGUAACGGCUCACCAAGACAACGAUACAUAGGGGGACUGAGAGGUUAACCCCCCACAUUGGUACUGAGACACGGACCAAACUCCUACGGGAGGCAGCAGUGAGGAAUAUUGGUCAAUGGACGCAAGUCUGAACCAGCCAUGCCGCGUGCAGGAAGACGGCUCUAUGAGUUGUAAACUGCUUUUGUACGAGGGUAAACGCAGAUACGCGUAUCUGUCUGAAAGUAUCGUACGAAUAAGGAUCGGCUAACUCCGUGCCAGCAGCCGCGGUAAUACGGAGGAUUCAAGCGUUAUCCGGAUUUAUUGGGUUUAAAGGGUGCGUAGGCGGUCGGAUAAGUUAGAGGUGAAAUCCCGGGGCUCAACUUCGGAAUUGCCUCUGAUACUGUUCGGCUAGAGAGUAGUUGCGGUAGGCGGAAUGUAUGGUGUAGCGGUGAAAUGCUUAGAGAUCAUACAGAACACCGAUUGCGAAGGCAGCUUACCAAGCUACUUCUGACGUUGAGGCACGAAAGCGUGGGGAGCAAACAGGAUUAGAUACCCUGGUAGUCCACGCAGUAAACGAUGAUAACUCGUUGUCGGCGAUACAGUGUCGGUGACUAAGCGAAAGCGAUAAGUUAUCCACCUGGGGAGUACGUUCGCAAGAAUGAAACUCAAAGGAAUUGACGGGGGCCCGCACAAGCGGAGGAACAUGUGGUUUAAUUCGAUGAUACGCGAGGAACCUUACCCGGGCUUGAAAGUUAGUGACGGAUCUUGAAAGAGGUCUUCCCUUCGGGGCACGAAACUAGGUGCUGCAUGGUUGUCGUCAGCUCGUGCCGUGAGGUGUCGGGUUAAGUCCCAUAACGAGCGCAACCCCUACCGUUAGUUGCCAGCAGGUCAAGCUGGGCACUCUGACGGGACUGCCGGUGUAAGCCGAGAGGAAGGUGGGGAUGACGUCAAAUCAGCACGGCCCUUACGUCCGGGGCUACACACGUGUUACAAUGGCAGGUACAGAGGGCAGCUACCCAGCGAUGGGAUGCGAAUCUCGAAAGCCUGUCUCAGUUCGGAUUGGAGGCUGAAACCCGCCUCCAUGAAGUUGGAUUCGCUAGUAAUCGCGCAUCAGCCAUGGCGCGGUGAAAAGGUUCCCGGGCCUUGUACACACCGCCCGUCA